This 480-nucleotide ribosomal RNA is filed under the name uncultured bacterium. Its description in RNAcentral is "partial 16S ribosomal RNA". It matches the Rfam family "Bacterial small subunit ribosomal RNA", at positions 28 to 523 of the family's 1533-position model. The record is from RNAcentral.
GACGAACGCUGGCGGCGUGCUUAACACAUGCAAGUCGAGCGAUGAAACACCUUCGGGUGCGGAUUAGCGGCGAACGGGUGAGGAACACGUGAGGAAUCUGCCUUCCACUCUGGGAUAACUCCGGGAAACCGGGGCUAAUACCGGAUACUUUCAACUGGCGGCAUCGCCGGUUGAAGAAAGUUUUUCGGUGGAAGAUGACCUCGCGGCCUAUCAGCUUGUUGGUGAGGUAAAGGCGCACCAAGGCGACGACGGGUAGCCGGCCUGAGAGGGCGACCGGCCACACUGGGACUGAGACACGGCCCAGACUCCUACGGGAGGCAGCAGUGGGGAAUAUUGGGCAAUGGAGGAAACUCUGACCCAGCGACGCCGCGUGAGGGAUGAAGGCCUUCGGGUUGUAAACCUCUUUCAGCACCGACGAAGCGCAAGUGACGGUAGGUGCAGAAGAAGGACCGGCCAACUACGUGCCAGCAGCCGCUGUAA